CGUAGUUUAUCGGGCAAAAAAAGACGGAGUGAGCAGCAGCAGUCCGGCAGCCAGUUGUCUUAGACUCGGACACAAACCACCUGCAGGAGUUUCAAUCUUUCCUUACAUCAAUAGGACCUGGAAGGAGCUGACUCACCAGCAAUGAUCGUGGUGUAAACCUUAUUCCUGGGGAGUGUGCUACAGUGUCUACCUUGUGCCGCCGUCUGUUCGAAGAAGUUCUACAACGCUCGUCAUCGUCUUGGCAUGAGUCGUGAUCAAGAGCCUAAACAUAACCUCUUAAUAAAACCAACCGCCGCUCUGGAAUUCAUUACAGAUGUUUACAGAACUGAAUUAGACACAUUGUAUAUCUGCUACAUCGUGCAUCGCUAGUCUUCGUAAAUUCUUCACGACCACAGACAGUUAAUGUAACGAGAGCCUCAUGAAUUUUAUUAGGAGUUCAUGUUUACUUGAGGGAAAUUUCUCGGUGUAUGUUGGUACAUUGUGAAUAUAUUGGUUAACUAUG
Long non-coding RNA from Macrobrachium nipponense, 502 nucleotides. RefSeq lists it as uncharacterized. The transcript has 2 exons. The record is from RefSeq and is a predicted model, not a curated record. Lineage: Eukaryota; Metazoa; Arthropoda; Malacostraca; Decapoda; Palaemonidae.